Long non-coding RNA from Salvelinus namaycush (lake trout), 1169 nucleotides. RefSeq lists it as uncharacterized. The record is from RefSeq and is a predicted model, not a curated record. The transcript has 3 exons. Lineage: Eukaryota; Metazoa; Chordata; Actinopteri; Salmoniformes; Salmonidae.
GUUUGUAGCCAGCACUUCCAGCCAGAGGAUUUCGAAACUGAUGGGGUUGCCAGGUGGUCGAACGUUAAAGUGAUGCUUUUCCAUUGAUUUUCCCCUUCACUUCAAAGAGGAAGGCAUGCGAUCAGCCAACAUCAGUGCAGCAGAAAAGAAGUCAAGCUGAGAGCCCGAUCCCAUCUGCAGCAGCAUCAACAUCAAGCUCAGCACCAGGAACUAUUGCUAACCCUGCUACUGAUGACGAUGAACUUAACACCAGCUUUAGUAGUACAGAGCCCGCAGACCCAUUGGAUGAAAGCUUUCAGCCGGGAACAAGCUCAACAUCAUCUGACUCGUAAACAAGCCAGGACGGCCAAAGGCAUUUAUGAAAGCACAAAUACCCUCUUGAGAAAACAACAAAAUCACCAAUACACUAAACUGUCUACAAGCCAAGUGCUCCUCAAACUUGUCACACCCUUGUAGUCAGUUCUUUGAGAGGGGUUGUUAGUUUACUCUUCUAGCCUAUUCACUCCAUUGUUGGCAGUGCUUGUCUACUCAACAGCACAACUGUAGGUGCUCAUACACAACAAUACACAACUAGACUGUCUAUAUGUCAAGCCCCCCUCAAACUUUUCACAUCUGUUAGCAGCCCAUCUCAAAGCCCCAUUAUUUAAAUGUAACAAAACACAUACCUGUUUACUGUUCCAUGUUUUGUUUACAGAUUAACAUGGUUUAUUUUAUGAUUAUACAUCCUCAUGAUCAGUCGUCAUGUCUUUCCAGGAUACUUACAGUACAAACAAUUAUUCUGCAAGAGGUCAAAGAAGUGGGUGGUGAAGAAAGUGCACAAGCCCAGAACCCACCACUUCAGGGAGACGCUUAUCCACCUGGUUGUGGAGUGCAGAAAAUAACAGACUGUUGUCAACAAGCAGCCAGACUCACAGCUCCCCCUGCCAACAUUGCCACAGCGCCAAAGCCUGCUAAACCAGCUGACAUUACCCAACAGUAGAAGAGGUGCACCAGCUGAAGAACAUUCUGGAACCUGCCUGGAACAUUCAACCAACACCCAUAUUCAGUUAGACUGAUGUUUUAGUAUAAUAUAGAAUACCUAGUAUGUUCACAACUGCAUUGUGGUAUAGAUAUUGCUGCCUCUCAAAAGUUUGUACACACCUACUCAUUUUCUACAUUGUAGAAUAAUU